This 602-nucleotide ribosomal RNA is filed under the name Microbacterium sp. CMT64. Its description in RNAcentral is "bacterial SSU rRNA". It matches the Rfam family "Bacterial small subunit ribosomal RNA", at positions 273 to 885 of the family's 1533-position model. Lineage: Bacteria; Bacillati; Actinomycetota; Actinomycetes; Micrococcales; Microbacteriaceae. The record is from RNAcentral.
GCGUCGACGGSKARCCGGCCUGAGAGGGUGACCGGCCACACUGGGACUGAGACACGGCCCAGACUCCUACGGGAGGSAGCAGUGGGGAAUAUUGCACAAUGGGCGGAAGCCUGAUGCAGCAACGCCGCGUGAGGGAUGACGGCCUUCGGGUUGUAAACCUCUUUUAGCAGGGAAGAAGCGAGAGUGACGGUACCUGCAGAAAAAGCGCCGGCUAACUACGUGCCAGCAGCCGCGGUAAUACGUAGGGCGCAAGCGUUAUCCGGAAUUAUUGGGCGUAAAGAGCUCGUAGGCGGUUUGUCGCGUCUGCUGUGAAAUCCCGAGGCUCAACCUCGGGCCUGCAGUGGGUACGGGCAGACUAGAGUGCGGUAGGGGAGAUUGGAAUUCCUGGUGUAGCGGUGGAAUGCGCAGAUAUCAGGAGGAACACCGAUGGCGAAGGCAGAUCUCUGGGCCGUAACUGACGCUGAGGAGCGAAAGGGUGGGGAGCAAACAGGCUUARAUACCCUGGUAGUCCACCCCGUAAACGUUGGGAACUAGUUGUGGGGACCAUUCCACGGUUUCCGUGACGCAGCUAACGCAUUAAGUUCCCCGCCUGGGGAGUACGG